Long non-coding RNA from Acipenser ruthenus (sterlet), 883 nucleotides. RefSeq lists it as uncharacterized. Lineage: Eukaryota; Metazoa; Chordata; Actinopteri; Acipenseriformes; Acipenseridae. The transcript is spliced from 5 exons. The record is from RefSeq and is a predicted model, not a curated record.
ACAUUAUAUGACAUUUGACACUUAAGCAAGACAUCUCACAAGUGCAGACAUACCCCCAAAAUGUUUUCCGUUUCAGAGGAAAAUACAACUGCAGUUCAGAAAAGACAUUUGUUCAUCCCCCAAAACUAGGUUUCUGACCUUUUGAGAGGAGCCCUAAACUAAGGUGUUAUAUAACCCCCUGCACCCUGCUUGUGGCUCAGUGUUGAGCUAUGAAGAUGAGGUCACUGCUGCUUGUCUGCCUGAUUGUGGUCACACUGACUGUGGCUAUUGCUGCCCCCAAGCAAGAGGGGUCUGAAACGGGCAAAGGAAAAAAGAUUUGUAAAAAAAGACCUGCUUCUCCUGGUGUUGUAUCCUUGCUGGAUGGAGAUGGUGAAGAUGCUGGAGGCGGCUAAGCCAGCACAGUAUGGGGUAGAUUUGACAAGGGACAAGAAAAGAAGGCCACCUCCCCUCCAGACAUUCCGAUCAGAGAAAAGAGACAAUUCGAAGCCAACCCAAAGAGACGUCCAAGACCUUGUCUGGGCUGCCUAUCUGUAAUAUCAGCUAAAAAGGAGGCUCCUGUAACACAUACAGCUGAUCCUGUCCUAAUGUGAAGGUGGAUCCAACAAGUGACGUCGUGAUCCUGCCAGUCGAAGUGCAGAAAAAUCACAGUCAAAUGCAUGUUGGCCUGAUAACCAAAUAUUGUUCUUUUUUUUUUUUUUUUUUUUUUUUAAUCCUGCGCUAGUAAAUCAUGUAUCUGUGUCAGGAUAGCAUAUACAGCAUGCUCAUGCCUAAGUAAACAAACAUUUUAAGAACAUAAGAAAGUUUACAAACGAGAGGAGGCCAUUCGGCCCAUCUUGCUCUUUUGGUUGUUAGUAGCUUAUUGAUCCCAGAAUCUCAUCAAGCA